This 232-nucleotide long non-coding RNA is filed under the name Olea europaea (common olive). RNAcentral's name for it is "long non-coding RNA (OEUR_LNC008319)". The record is from RNAcentral. Lineage: Eukaryota; Viridiplantae; Streptophyta; Magnoliopsida; Lamiales; Oleaceae.
GCUCAUAAGUUUUUAUCUUUAAUACUAGCAACAAAAAGUUUUAAAUAACCCUAAAAGAUGAAUUGAUAGGAGAAAAGAAAACAACCCUAAAUGAUGAAAGUCUUCGACAGUCUUGGAAUUGUACUUUCUUCUUCUUCAAGAAACCCUUCGGUAGGAGAGGAAAGCCCUUAUACUGUCUUUAAGAGAUUAUAAUAAUUCCCCUUUGUAUAACCUAAAUCAACAAAGGACCCGC